GCAUUCUCGUCCGAAAUAUACGGGAUCUCAACGGAUCCAUCCACCUUAAGCAAAGAUUUUCCAUCAGAAUCCUUAGCUUCACCUUCCCAAGAAAGGGAGACAUUAAGCUCAUACCCUGGAAUGUUUUUACCCUUUCGAACAUUGACGUAGGCCUCGCCAUCGACCUUCUCGAUCUUCUUGAUCUUGAUGAAAAGAUUUCCUUCGCCAUCAAGGAUAACGAGAUUAGAGAGAAGAUUGGAGAGGAGGCUCCGCGACCAUUCCAAGCAAUCGGUCUCGGCCCAAUGCCAAUUGUGGACAUUGGCGCCGUCUGGUCUAUCCUCUACGAUCCAGCGCUUGUCCCCUUCUCCGUACUUGGCCAUGAACGAGAGGAAUUUAGAAAUUAAAAGUGGUAGAUUAAGAGAUAAAGAUUGAAGCUUUGGAUCGAGAGAGUUGAGAACAGAUUGCGAGGGGGAAGAGGGGAAAGGGAAAUAAAAA
RNAcentral lists this unclassified non-coding RNA (474 nucleotides) under Hevea brasiliensis (rubber tree). Lineage: Eukaryota; Viridiplantae; Streptophyta; Magnoliopsida; Malpighiales; Euphorbiaceae. The record is from RNAcentral.